AUACUACUCCCUUCGUCCGGAAAUACUUGUCCUAUAAAUGGAUGUAUCUAGGCUUAUUUUAGUUACAUAUACAUCAAUUUUAUUCUUUUCUAGGACAAGUAUUUCCGGACGGAGGGAGUAUGUU
Molecule: non-coding RNA, 124 nt
Organism: Hordeum vulgare subsp. vulgare (domesticated barley)
Lineage: Eukaryota; Viridiplantae; Streptophyta; Magnoliopsida; Poales; Poaceae
Source: Rfam